GCCAGGUUUAAUUAGCGCGGCUGGCUGUGCUGCCUGUGCAUGCAUCACCAGCACACCGCGCCACUACCGGAGCGCCGGUUCACGCACCCACACUACUCUCGCCUCGUCUGCACGACUGCACCCGCCUUGGCCAAGGCGGAACGCGCUAUAAAAAGCAGCGCCGCCGCGCGAGCUCUUGCUACUGUGUGGUGCAAGUGCAACCAAUCUGAUCACCCAGUCGUCCCUUCCAAUACCCGGUGCGGUGAUGAUGAUGGCUCGGGGAAGAGGUGGUGCGAUCGGCGGCGGCGGCGUCAUCGCGUUGGUGCUCCUGGUCGGCCUCUUCGUGGCGACGAGUGCCCCGCCGGUCGCCGAGGCGGCGGCGUCGUACAUGGUCGGCGACUACGGCGGGUGGAAGUUCAACGUCGACAGGUGGGCCAAGGGGAGGACCUUCCGCGCCGGCGACGUGCUCGUGUUCAGCUACAACCGUGCGGUGCACGACGUGGCGGUGGUGAACGCGGCGGCGUACCGGAGCUGCGCGGUGCCCAACAAGGGCGCGAGGGUGCUGCGGAGCGGGCGCGACAAGGUGAGGCUCGGCAGAGGCACGCACUACUUCGCCUGCACCGUGCGGGGACACUGCCAAGCCGGCAUGAAGCUCGCCGUCAGGGCCGUGUAGUAGUCCCGCCUGGCAACGGCGGCCACGCCCAACUUCCAGAGUCCAGAUCCAUCGAUCCAUGCCUCAGGUCGGCUGCGUGUGGGAUCCUGAAAAAUCUAGACCUCCUAGCUAUUUUGCGUUGCUUAGUUAAUCUAAUGGCGAGCUAUCUUGUCGUGUGUUCUGUGUACGUUUAUGGCCCUUUUGUUGAUGUUCUUGGGUUAUGCUAUGCACGAGUAGUACACAUGUCCAAAUGGGCUGGUCUGACAGUGGGCCUGUCAUCCGGCACAGUCGUGACCCGGCAUAAGCAUGGCCUGACCCGACUAAAACGGUACUCGGAUUGGCCUGCCCGAUAGCUGUGCCGGGCUUGGGCCGGCCGUCUAGCCCACGAUGCAGGCAUGAAUCUGGUCCGGUUAAAGGGUAGGCACGAUAACGGCUCGAUUGAGGAACUGAUUUUAUAACAACCAGUAUAUUUUUAUCUACAAUACUCAUGAUUCUGUUAUUAUGUGAUGUUAUUAUGUGAGAGCAUUCAG
RNAcentral lists this unclassified non-coding RNA (1161 nucleotides) under Zea mays. RNAcentral's name for it is "misc RNA Zm00001eb253610". Lineage: Eukaryota; Viridiplantae; Streptophyta; Magnoliopsida; Poales; Poaceae. The record is from RNAcentral.